CCUACGGGUGGCAGCAGUGGGGGAUAUUGGGCAAUGGGCGCAAGCCUGACCCAGCAACGCCGCGUGAAUGAAGAAGUCUUUCGGUUUGUAAACUUCUUUUCUCAGGGACGAAAGAAGUGACGGUACCUGAGCAAUAAGCCCUGGCUAACUACGUGCCAGCAGCCGCGGUAAUACGUAGGUGGCAAGCGUUAUCCGGAUUUAUUGGGUGUAAAGGGCGUGUAGGCGGUUACGUAAGUCAGGUGUGAAAAGUCAGGGCUCAACCCUGAGCCUGCAUUUGAAACUGUGUUACUUGAGUGCUGGAGAGGCAAGCGGAAUUCCGAGUGUAGCGGUGAAAUGCGUAGAUAUAAGGAGGAACACCAGUGGCGAAGGCGGAUUGCUGGACAGUAACUGACGUUGAGGCGCGAAAGCGUGGGGAGCAAACAGGAUUAGAUACCCGAGUAGUC
This 443-nucleotide ribosomal RNA is filed under the name uncultured bacterium. Its description in RNAcentral is "partial 16S ribosomal RNA". It matches the Rfam family "Bacterial small subunit ribosomal RNA", at positions 338 to 795 of the family's 1533-position model. The record is from RNAcentral.